RNAcentral lists this ribosomal RNA (491 nucleotides) under uncultured bacterium. RNAcentral describes it as "partial 16S ribosomal RNA". It matches the Rfam family "Bacterial small subunit ribosomal RNA", at positions 29 to 506 of the family's 1533-position model. The record is from RNAcentral.
AGUGAACGCUGGCGGUAGGCCUAACACAUGCAAGUCGAACGGCAGCACAGUAAGAGCUUGCUCUUACGGGUGGCGAGUGGCGGACGGGUGAGGAAUACAUCGGAAUCUACUUUUUCGUGGGGGAUAACGUAGGGAAACUUACGCUAAUACCGCAUACGACCUACGGGUGAAAGCAGGGGAUCUUCGGACCUUGCGCGAUUGAAUGAGCCGAUGUCUGAUUAGCUAGUUGGCGGGGUAAAGGCCCACCAAGGCGACGAUCCGUAGCUGGUCUGAGAGGAUGAUCAGCCACACUGGAACUGAGACACGGUCCAGACUCCUACGGGAGGCAGCAGUGGGGAAUAUUGGACAAUGGGCGCAAGCCUGAUCCAGCCAUACCGCGUGGGUGAAGAAGGCCUUCGGGUUGUAAAGCCCUUUUGUUGGGAAAGAAAAGCAGCAGGUUAAUACCCCGCUGUUCUGACGGUACCCAAAGAAUAAACACCGGCUAACUUCGU